GGAGAUCUUAACAACAUGGCAGACAUUGACAACAAAGAACAGUGUAAACUUUAUCAAGAUUUGGAUGAUGUUGAAGAAGUAGAAGAAGAAACUGGUGAAGAAACAAAAAUCAAAGCACGUCAGCUGAGUGUUCAGAUGAUGCAAAAUCUUCAGAUUCUUGCAGCCCUUCAAGGAAGACUCAAUGGUCUAGUAGAAACACCAAUAUAAUACAUUGAAAGCUUGCCUAGGGUAGUUAAAAGACGAGUGAAUGCUCCCCCAAAUCUUCAAGUUAAAUGUGCACAGAUAGAAGCCAAAUUCUAUGACAAAGUUCAUGAUCUUGAAAGGAAGUAUGCUGUUCUCUAUCCACCUCUACUUGACAAGCGAUUUGAGAUUAUUAAUGCGAUUUAUGAACCUACGGAAGAAGAAUGUGAAUGGAAAGCAGAUGAAGAAGACGAAAUUUUGGAGGAGCUGAAAGAAAAGGCCAAGAUUGAAGAUGAGAAAAAGGAUGAAGAAAAAGUUUGGUUGACUGUUUUUAAGAAUGUGGACUUGUUCAGUGAUAUGGUUCAGGAACAUGAUGAACAUAUUCUGAAGCACUUGAAAGAUAUUAAAGUCAAAUUCUCAGAUGCUGGCCAGCCUGUGAGUUUUGUCUUAGAAUUUCACUUUGAAUCCAAUGAAUAUUUCACAAAUGAAGUGUUGACAAAGACAUAUAGGAUGAGGUCAGAACCAGAUGAUUCUGAUCCCUUUUCUUUUGAUGGACCAGAAAUUAUGGGUUGUACAGGGUGCCAGAUAGAUUGGAAAAAAGGAAAGAAUGUCACUUUGAAAACCAUUAAGAAGAAGCAGAAACAUAAGGGACGUGGGACAGUUUGUACUGUGACUAAAACAGUUUCCAAUGACUCUUUCUUUAAUUUUUUUACACCCUCCUGAACUUCCUGAAAGUGGAGAUCUUGACGAUGAUGCUGAAGCUAUUCUUACUGCAGAUUUUGAAAUUGGUCACUUUUUACGUGAGUGUAUAAAGAUCAUAAAAGAUCAGUGUUAUACUUUACUGGAGAAGCUAUUGAAGAUGAUGAUGAUUAUGAUGAAGAAGGUGAAGAAGCAGAUGAGGAAGGGGAAGAAGAAGGAGAUGAGGAAAAUGAUCCAGUCAAAAAUGAUCUUCGACUAUAACCCAAAGAAGGAUUAAAAUCCAGCAGAGUGCAAGCAGCAGUGA
Otolemur garnettii (small-eared galago) is the source of this 1183-nucleotide RNA transcript. It is a transcript of the gene named nucleosome assembly protein 1-like 1 pseudogene, with no coding region annotated. NCBI's taxonomy places the organism in Eukaryota, Metazoa, Chordata, Mammalia, Primates, Galagidae. The transcript has a single exon. The record is from RefSeq and is a predicted model, not a curated record.